AUUGAACGCUGGCGGCAGGCCUGACACAUGCAAGUCGGACGGUAGCACAGGGGAGCUUGCUCCUCGGGUGACGAGUGGCGGACGGGUGAGUAAUGUCUGGGGAUCUGCCCGAUAGAGGGGGAUAACCACUGGAAACGGUGGCUAAUACCGCAUAAUGACGCAAGACCAAAGAGGGGGACCUUCGGGCCUCUCACUAUUGGAUGAACCCAGAUGGGAUUAGCUAGUAGGCGGGGUAACGGCCCACCUAGGCGACGAUCCCUAGCUGGUCUGAGAGGAUGACCAGCCACACUGGAACUGAGACACGGUCCAGACUCCUACGGGAGGCAGCAGUGGGGAAUAUUGCACAAUGGGCGCAAGCCUGAUGCAGCCAUGCCGCGUGUAUGAAGAAGGCCUUCGGGUUGUAAAGUACUUUCAGCGGGGAGGAAGGCGAUGUGGUUAAUAACCGCGUCGAUUGACGUUACCCGCAGAAGAAGCACCGGCUAACUCCGUGCCAGCAGCCGCCGCGG
This 506-nucleotide ribosomal RNA is filed under the name uncultured bacterium. RNAcentral's name for it is "partial 16S ribosomal RNA". It matches the Rfam family "Bacterial small subunit ribosomal RNA", at positions 29 to 523 of the family's 1533-position model. The record is from RNAcentral.